ACGGGUAAAUUAUAAAACUAUAUAUUACUCUAUAUGUUCAUAAAUAUAAGAUGUCUAGGUAGAAACAACACAUAUAUUAAUAAAACUAUUUUUUUGUCCAAAAAGUAUCAUUAAAACUAUAAAUUAAUAGUAUUCAACCAAUUACAAAAUAGACUAUUAAAAUAUGAUUGGGUACACAGUUUUUAAUAAAGUAAAAGUUACCUAAAAAAAUGAAAACAUCUUAUAUAUUGGAAUAUCUUAUAUAUUGGAACAUCAAA
This 257-nucleotide long non-coding RNA is filed under the name Brassica napus (rape). RNAcentral describes it as "long non-coding RNA (BNAP_LNC025318)". The record is from RNAcentral. Lineage: Eukaryota; Viridiplantae; Streptophyta; Magnoliopsida; Brassicales; Brassicaceae.